Ictidomys tridecemlineatus (thirteen-lined ground squirrel) is the source of this 107-nucleotide small nuclear RNA. The record is from Ensembl. Lineage: Eukaryota; Metazoa; Chordata; Mammalia; Rodentia; Sciuridae.
GGGCUCACUUCAGCAGCACAUAUACUAAAAUUGAAAUGAUACAGAGAAGAUUAGCAUGGCCCCUACACGAGGAUGACACGCAAAUUCGUGAAGCACUCCAUUUUUUU